GAUAAAUCUAUAAUGUAAUAAUGGAAAGAAUCGGCUUGAAAGAAUAGGGGAUAGGAUAUUUUUCAAUGACGCAUCAUCCCCAGGAGACGUCUCCACCGUUCAGCUGCAUUUGUGAUAAUGCAUAUUAUAAUUUGAAUGAAUUUAUGAUUGAUGAUUUAAAUUUUUAUUGAAAGUGGUCACUGUUUUAUUUGCCAUUUGAAUAGUUGUUCUGUAAUUAUGUGUAUUGAAUACAAUGAAUGAAACAGAAGGUAUUGGAGGUAUCUCAGUAGGUCGAGUUUGUGAAGUUUUCAGUUAGUCCCUAGCAAAGCACGGGUUACCUGCUGUAUGUAAUAUUUUGUUUUUUUAUUUCACCACUCUACAGUAAGAUUGUACACAAUAAUAAUAAUGUGGGUCUGUUUUUGCAGUUGCUUGGUAUUGAUUGUAAGACACAGAAGAAGACACAUUUAGAUGUUUUUGGAUCUUGAAUCUUGAUGCUCACAGAAAAGCAAGUCAACCAGACAGGCUCUAAAAAUUGAUGAAAUGGAACAAAUUAUUUGGACAAGACACUAGAAAAACUCUACUCGGUCGGUUUUGAAAUCAUACCUCAAGAUACUUGCGAGAUCUUCGUCUGCACUGCACUAGCAUUUCAGUGACUCAAUGUGGAUUGUGAAGACACAGAAGGGGACGCAUUUGGAUCUUGAAUCAUGAAUGUUGAAUCUUGAUGCUCACAGAAAGGAAGUCAACCAGACAGGAUUGAGACCACAAUAGGAGGCAUAAAGUCCCUUGAUAAUUUUGAAAACAGAGACGUUAUAGUGAGGUCCACGUUAUAAUGGCAGUGGAGGAAAGUAGGAGAACAACGUUGCCAAUUAUCUGCCUUGCCACUGCCUUCUGAAGAGGAUAGCUUGGUCAAUUUUACCACCAACUUUGGUCAAUAUCUAUAGUUAGUUCCUAAAGGUAGUGGAGAAAAA
Molecule: long non-coding RNA, 947 nt
Organism: Nilaparvata lugens (brown planthopper)
Lineage: Eukaryota; Metazoa; Arthropoda; Insecta; Hemiptera; Delphacidae
Exons: 4
Source: RefSeq, a predicted model, not a curated record